This is a long non-coding RNA of Gorilla gorilla gorilla (western lowland gorilla), 4868 nucleotides long. RefSeq lists it as uncharacterized. The transcript is spliced from 2 exons. NCBI's taxonomy places the organism in Eukaryota, Metazoa, Chordata, Mammalia, Primates, Hominidae. The record is from RefSeq and is a predicted model, not a curated record.
CCCACCACCAUGCCCGGCUAAUUUUUGUAUUUUUAGUAGAGACGGGGUUUCACCAUGUUGGCCAGGAUGGUCUCGAUCUCUUGACCUUGUGAUCCACCCGCCUCAACCUCCCAAAGUGUUGGGAUUACAGGCGUGAGCCACAGGGCCCGGCCUUGUGUGUUCUCUUUUUUCUUAAUUUGGUUAGAGAUUUAUCAGUGUUAUUGAUCAUCUCAAAAAACUAGUUUUUGGUUUCAUCAUUAUCUUCAUAUUUUGUUUUCUAUUCAUUGAUUUCUGUACUUUUGCUUAUUAUUUCCUUUUUCUGCUUACUUUGGCUUUCGUUGCCUUUCUCUAGUUCUCAUUUGAGACCUUUCUUUUUUUCUUAUAUAAUUUUUAAUGCUAUAAAUUUUGCUUUAAACAUUUCCUUAAUUCCACAAUUUUCCUUGCGUUAUGUUUUUAUUAUUAUUCUGGUAAAAAUAUUUCCUAGUGAUAUUUGUGAUUUCUUCUUUGACUCAUUGGUGUUUAGAAGUGAGUUAACUUCUAGAGACAUUUGGGGUCCUUUCUAGAUUAGUUGUUGUUGCAGAUUCCUAAUUUAUGACUGUUGUGGUCUGGAAACACUCUGCAAGAUAUUGAUCUUUUGAAAUCUGUUGAGACAAGCAUGUGGCCUGUCCUGACGAAUGUUUCACAUACAGUUGGAAAGAGUGUGCGUUCUGAAGUUGUUGCUGAUUAUUUUCUCUAAGUGUCAAUUCAGUUUAGUUCGUAGUGUCAUUUGAAUCUCCUGUAUACCUUUUUCUUUUUGUCUACUUGUUCUGUUACUGAGAACAGCGUGUUAAAAUCUCCAGCUAUUAUUGUAGAUUUUCUGUUUUUCCCUUUGGUUUUACUAGUUUUUGUUCAUAUAUUUUGGCAUUCUGUUAUUAGAUGUGUAUACGUUUGUAAUUGUUGUCUCUUCCUGUUGUAUUGAGCAGGAACUAUCCUUUUUGUCUUAUAAUACUCAUUCUAUUGAAGAAUAUUUUGUGUGCUAUUAAUACAGCUACUACAGGCCAUGUGCAGUGUGGCUCGUGCCUGUAAUCCCAGCACUUUGAGAAGCCAAGGCAGGAGGAUUGCUUGAGGCCAGGAGUUUGAGACCAGCCUGGGCAACACAGUGAGACUCCCAUCUCUAAAAAAAAAAAAAUGUUUAGGACAUCAGCCAAGCAUAAUGACAUAUGCCUGUGGGUCCUACAGAGGAAGCCCAAGCAGGAGGCAGCUGAAGCAGGAGGAUCUACAUAGGAGGCUGAAGUGGAUAGCUUGAAUCUAAGAGUCGGAGGUUACAGUGAACUCUGAUCACACCACUGCACUCCAGACUGAACAACAACAGAACAAGGCCCUGUCUUAAAACACACAUGCAGAGCCAGGCACAGUGGCUCAUGCCUGUAAUCCCAGCACUUUGGGAGGCUGAGGUGGGCAGAUCACAAGGUCAGGAGUUCGAGACCAUCCUGGCUAACACGGUGAAACCCCGUCUCUACUAAAAAUAGAAAAAUUAGCCGGACGUGGUGGCGGGCACCUGUAAUCCGAGCUACUCAGGAGGCUGAGGCAAGAGAAUGGCGUGAACCCAGGAGGUGGAGCUUGCAGUGAGCUGAGAUCAUGCCAUUGCACUCCAGCUGGGUGACAGAGCAAGACUCUGUCUAAAAAAAAAAAAAAAGCACACACGCACACUCAGCUAUGAUGGCUUUCUUAUGCUAGCUGUUUGCGUGGUAUAUUAUUGUCCAUCCUUAAAUUUUAAUUUCCACCUCUUUCUGUCUCUUGAAGACAACAUAAGGUUGGUUCUUGCUUUCUUAAGUCAGUCUGACCAUUUGUGCCUUUUGCUUGGGAUACUUCAUUUAUGUUUGAUGCAAUUAUUUAAAUGGUUAUAGUUACAUGAUAUUCUCUAUCUGUCUCAUCUGUGUUUUGUUCCUCAGUUUAUUCUUUCUUGCCUUCUUAUUCAUUCACUAAUGUUAUAUUUUCUUUGGACAUAUUUUUCUUCAUUCAUUGGUGGAAGUAAAUUUCCAUAUCAUUAUUUUAUCCAUUAACGCCAAGCUGCACCGUGUUUGUUCAAAUUUACAUUCCCACCUAGGUCCCUUUCUCAGUUACCUGUUUCAAUCUUUUAACUUUUGGGUUUUUUUUAAAUUUUAUGUUUCUCUAUAGUUUUCUGGUUAUAUCCAUUCUAUCUCCUUCUAUAUAUUCUUAUUUUAUAAGUGGUGGGCAACAAGCAUGCCCACAGACAUGACGCGAAGCAGAAAGCUGGCCGUGAGAGUGACGAGAGGAGGCCUAUCCCUGCUGCCUUGCCCUGGAGCUGCUCCUCUGGUAGCUUGAAUCCAUUUCUUUCACAUCCAGUCUUCAUCCCUCAGCAACCCAACUGGAGCCACUCAAGACCCAUGAGCCAGAUGGAUGACCAUCGUUAUUCUGGGGCAGGCAGCAGCUUCCAAGAAGAUGGCCUUGCAAUUCCAGGUCACGACUGCCUGCUGCCUUCAGAGGAACGACUCACCACAAAUCCAGAUUCUGCUGUGCGUGGCCGUCAAAUGUGAGGCCAUCUGGGGACGUGUCACGGGGACUGGGGUGGACAUAAGUCACCUUUCUAGCUACCUGUUGGAUAAGCUUUCUAUAUUUGAUGAAAAGUAGUACCUGACUUCCGGACCUGGAGUUUGAAGCUCAGUUUCCAGCUGCCCUGAAACAUGCUUGGGAGACUGACUUGGAAGACAGAACGGCAAGGAAGCGGCGUCUCAGCGUCACUUCCUGCGGGGAGGGGCAGCGUUAGGCGUCUUCUGAGGCUGACUUCUCAGCAGAGGAUCCCUGUGCCUGAGGCCGCGGUGCCCAGAGGUGCCAGGUGGGGCGGGGGAUAUGGUAACUGGGAAACAUAGCCCCAAGCCCAGUUACCGCCCCUCUUAGCUAGGUAGCGAGGAUUCAGUAGUUUGCAGGACUGUGCCUGACACUGUGCCCGGGCGUGGUCUGGGCAGUCUCUUCACAUCAUCCGCGAAGGCAUCUGGGCUUUUUCCUGUCUGUCAGCGGAUGACUCCUUCCUCCGUCGUCCCUCCAUGCGUGCGGCCAUCUUUUGUCGCGUGCCUACACUAUCGAUGUCAGGCUGGGGACGCACAGGACCGACCGAGCAUGCUGGCAGGCUGGAAUGACUAAGUCAACCAAACUGCAGAGAUGGUGGCUGCCCCUCCCCACAGGAGCUCCAUCCCAAGGAGAGAUCAGAGCUCUAUCCGUAGAACCCUGGCUGGAGUGGCUGAAGCCCCUGCAGGGAGGACCCACGCAGUGAGGAGAAGCGGAUGGGAUCACACUUAAAGAACCACUUUGGCAGCUGUGCUGCCUGUGGGGGACCCCUUCUCAUCUGGACCACUUGUAUUCUCCAAAGUCUGCAGGCUGGAACGGCUGAGUCUACCGAAUUGCAGAGAUGGCAGCCACCCCUGCCCUGCUGCCUGGGGGGGACCCCUUCUCAUCUGGACCACUUGUAUUCUCCAAAGUCUGCAGGCUGGAACGGCUGAGUCUACCGAAUUGCAGAGAUGGCAGCCACCCCUGCCCUGCUGCCUGUGGGGGACCCCUUCUCAUCUGGACCACUUGUAUUCUCCAAAGUCUGCAGGCUGGAACGGCUGAGUCUACCGAAUUGCAGAGAUGGCAGCCACCCCUGCCCUGCUGCCUGUGGGGGACCCCUUGUCAUCUGGACCACUUGUAUUCUCCAAAGUCUGCAGGCUGCAACGGCUGAGUCUACCGAAUUGCAGAGAUGGCAGCCACCCCUGCCCUGGGAACUCGGGCCCUUCUCAGGCAGAGUCCAGCCUGUUGCUGUUGGCUGGCUGGGAUUCCAAGCCAGUGGGUCUUAACUUGUGAUGUGCCAUGGAAGUGAGGACUGCGGAAUGAUUCUGCUUGGCUCCAUGGAGUCAGCCCUCUUCCCAGGAAUCUGGAAGGAUGGAUUUCCCACCUUGCCAGGGAUCCUGGGGCCGGAGUAUGUAAAACGCCUGGGUCUCUAUGUGUGGCUGAGUGGCUGCUCUGCUGAAGUUCCACAAAGUUGUGUGUAUCGGGCCCAAGGCACUGGUGGUGGGGCCUCAUGAAGGGAUCUGCUGAUACCACAGUUGCAAAGAUCCAUGGGAGAAGCAUGAUUUCCCAGCAGGGUCCACAAUCACUCACCACUUCCUUGGCUGGCGCUGGAGGUUCCUUUGGCUCCGUGCCACUGCUGAGUGGGCCAUUGACCCUCCCACCACUUCUUUUCAUUCUCCGUGGGUCGAGUUGUUUGCCUAGUUAGUCCCAGUAUGAGAACCUGGAUAUUUCAGUUGAAGGUGCUGGAUUCACUCACCCCUUUUCAUUCUUCUCUGUAAGCGCCUCAGACCGCAGCUGUUUCUAAUCAGCCAUCUUGGAUUCACCUGAAGGUUAUUUUAAAGUCAUCUAGUUUCAUGGCUUUAAGAAACACCUGUAUUUUGGCUACUCCCAAAUUCAUAUUUCAGCUCAGAUCUUUCCCUGGGCCUCCAGAUAAGACAGAGCCGUGUGUCCAACAUCUCCCUCAGGGUAUCCAACAGGCACCCACCCAUAACAUCGAAACUCAAGUGUCUGUUCUGCUCACACAGAUCAGACCCACCCUGUUGUCCCCUGUUUGGGGACUGGAAACCCCAACUUUGCUCUGGCCAGAAAUCUCGGGGACAUCCUCUAUGCCCCCCACCCACAGCCAGGCAGCAAAUUCUGUGGCCUCCAACCUCGACGUGCAUUGGAGCCUGACGGACCCCUGCAUUUCUGACCUGGGUGCUGAAGGAGCCACCCCUCAUCUUCAGUCUAUUCCAAAGGAGCAGCCACAAUUAGCCUUCAAAAUUUUAAGUCAAGUACAUCAUGCUGUGCUCAAAAUGGCUUUGGGCUCAUUCGGAGUAAAAGCUGAAGUCACUAAAAGAGACUGA